UACGUAGGGUGCAAGCGUUGUCCGGAAUUAUUGGGCGUAAAGAGCUCGUAGGCGGUUUGUCGCGUCUGCUGUGAAAACCCGAGGCUCAACCUCGGGCCUGCAGUGGGUACGGGCAGACUAGAGUGCGGUAGGGGAGAUUGGAAUUCCUGGUGUAGCGGUGGAAUGCGCAGAUAUCAGGAGGAACACCUGCGGUGUAGACGGCUUACUGGACGGUAACUGACGCUGAGGCACGAAAGCGUGGGUAGCAAACAGG
RNAcentral lists this ribosomal RNA (253 nucleotides) under uncultured bacterium. Its description in RNAcentral is "partial 16S ribosomal RNA". It matches the Rfam family "Bacterial small subunit ribosomal RNA", at positions 524 to 776 of the family's 1533-position model. The record is from RNAcentral.